Molecule: unclassified non-coding RNA, 348 nt
Filed under: soil metagenome
Description: partial contains 5.8S ribosomal RNA, internal transcribed spacer 2, and large subunit ribosomal RNA
Rfam family: 5.8S ribosomal RNA (bases 1-120)
Source: RNAcentral
GAUGAAGAACGUAGCGAAAUGCGAUAAGUAAUGUGAAUUGCAGAAUUCAGUGAAUCAUCGAGUCUUUGAACGCACAUUGCGCCCCCUGGUAUUCCGGGGGGCAUGCCUGUCCGAGCGUCAUUGCUGCCCUCAAGCACGGCUUGUGUGUUGGGCCCCCGUCCCCGGUUUCCCCCGGGGACGGGCCCGAAAGGCAGCGGCGGCACCGCGUCCGGUCCUCGAGCGUAUGGGGCUUUGUCACCCGCUCUGUAGGCCCGGCCGGCGCCAGCCGACACCCAACUUUAUUUCUAAGGUUGACCUCGGAUCAGAUAGGGAUACCCGCUGAACUUAAGCAUAUCAAUAAGCGGAGGA